UUUUAUUUAAUUUUCCAACGAACACCCUCUUUUAUCAUUCAAAACCGUGAAAGUAAAUUAAGAAGAAAUGGGUUUCUUUCAAUUAGGCUCAGCGUUGCUUUGAGUAACUGCCUAUAAUUCUAUUUAAUGAAAAAAUAAAAUCAUUAUUCCACGUCUCCCCCUGCCCUGUCACAAGCCCACAGACGGGCUCCAUUAGCGUGCACCGUAGAUUUAUUUAAUUAGAAAAAUAUUUUGUUUUCUCUGAUUCUUUGGGAAAAGAAAAAAAACCCCUCCAGGCACAAAAUUAAUCAAAUCUGUUACCUGGUGGUUAAUGGCUCCUGCGCGCGGGCAUCUCCGCCCACGCUGCUGCUCCCACCCUGGGUUUGCCCCCUGAAUUUGGACGCAGGCCCCCCAUGGGCCCCACCACACCCGCCUGGCCAAGUCUGGCCAAGACUGUCGCUGCGGGGUGGGGAGCUCCCCAUGGUUGUGACACUGGGAAGGAGCCAAAUUCCGUGGUCGCCAAGCACCAGUCCUCUGGGCGAGCGCCGUGCAGGAAGCCGAGCCGGGCGCACACGUGCUGCUCGUUAAACCAGGGCCCCUGUGACCCCCCAGUCCCGGCCCAGCCGCCCAGAGGCCUCAUCCGGUCCCCAGGGGCAUAAGCAGAGUCCAGGGUGGCCAGAGGAGCAGGGACGGAGACCAGUCCACCGGGGGAGUCUAAUGACCCCACAGGGCGACACCAGGGGACUGUACCUGAGUCCCCUCCACUGCCUAGCAGCCCCCAGGUCCCCAACGCGACUGCCAGGCCCACGGCCCUUUCAAGUUCUCCAGAACCGCAGGCUUCCUGCUGCCGAUGACGACCAAGGCUCCGACAGGUCCCACCCCUUGGCUGGGGUCCCUCCACACCAAGUCCAGCAGCCUGACCUCCAACCUUCACUCCUGCCUGCUGGUCCCAUGGUGGCUGGACCCCAAGCCCCUGUCCCCACACUGCUCGGCCCAACGGUUGCCCCAGAGGUCAUACAUGGGUCCCCGCUGUCAGAGAUACCUCAACCAAGGGAGGCCCUCCAGCUUGACCUGUGAGCUGAAGCGGACUCCAAGCAGUGUGCCUGCCAGGCAAUAGCAGCCCAACCCUGCUCUCCUGGAACCAACACCCCAAAGAGAAAAAC
RNAcentral lists this long non-coding RNA (1142 nucleotides) under Vulpes vulpes (red fox). Its description in RNAcentral is "lncRNA (ENSVVUG00000027151.1)". The record is from RNAcentral. Lineage: Eukaryota; Metazoa; Chordata; Mammalia; Carnivora; Canidae.